Molecule: transfer RNA, 69 nt
Filed under: Capra hircus (goat)
Lineage: Eukaryota; Metazoa; Chordata; Mammalia; Artiodactyla; Bovidae
Also listed under: 1 other name
Rfam family: tRNA
About the family: Transfer RNA (tRNA) molecules are approximately 80 nucleotides in length. Their secondary structure includes four short double-helical elements and three loops (D, anti-codon, and T loops). Further hydrogen bonds mediate the characteristic L-shaped molecular structure. tRNAs have two regions of fundamental functional importance: the anti-codon, which is responsible for specific mRNA codon recognition, and the 3' end, to which the tRNAs corresponding amino acid is attached (by aminoacyl-tRNA synthetases). tRNAs cope with the degeneracy of the genetic code in two manners: having more than one tRNA (with a specific anti-codon) for a particular amino acid; and 'wobble' base-pairing, i.e. permitting non-standard base-pairing at the 3rd anti-codon position.
Source: Rfam by way of RNAcentral
CCUGAUAGCUAAGUUGGUAAAGAAUCCGCCUGCAAUGCAGGAGACCCUGGUUCAAUUCCUGGAUCAGGA